RNAcentral lists this long non-coding RNA (917 nucleotides) under Columba livia (rock pigeon). RNAcentral's name for it is "partial uncharacterized LOC102098492, transcript variant X1". The record is from RNAcentral. Lineage: Eukaryota; Metazoa; Chordata; Aves; Columbiformes; Columbidae.
GCAAAGCACACAGUAAAGUCAGAGACAAAGCUGAACUUGGGGAAAUGUUGCCAUGGUGAAGGGAAAUUGAAGUUUAAACUGGGGGGAAUAAGGCUGGACACAGUUUCUGCAGACCGGCCGGAUGUCGAUGAUCCCAACCAGCCCUCGGUCCUGAGCGUCACCUGGUCCUGAGCGUCGCCUGGUCCUGAACAUCACCUGGUCCUGAGCGUCACCUGGUCCUGAGCAUCGCCUGGUCCUGAGCGUCCCCCAGGCUGGUGUCGGAGGUGUGAAGAUGAGCCAGCUCUGAUUUCUCCCGAUAUCCGCUCGCCAGACGCCUCCCAGUCCCGCCCGCCCCGUGCCCCGUGCCGACAACAAACGUGUGUCCCGGUGACGGAACCUCGGGCUGUGCUGUCACUCCUGCGAGACAGAGGGAAGAGCCACGUAACUCUGCGCCACAACAACUUGUAUUUGAAUGAAACAGAUAAGAUAAUGGCUGCAAUAACCUGACACAGUAGAUGGUACGUGGUUGUGGUCACCGCGGGAGCUGACGACGUUUGUCCUUUCAGCAGGGAGGAUGGGGAAUUAAAGCUGCUCAAUGCACGUGGCAGCUCUGGCCAUGGAUGCGAAGGCAGCACAGCCGGAUCGCACAAACUCACCAACGCCUGGACAGUGUCUCACCAUAUUCCACUGCCCCCGAGGAGCUUUCAGGGAAACCUUAAGUAAGUAUUUCAAAUGUUCCCUCAAGGAAUAUUAAUUAUGCUUCCUUGAGGUAAAGCAGCGUUGGCAAUAAGUUUGUUUAAUUAGCGUUUCAUCGCACUGCGUUGUCGGGGACGCAGACCCUCCACGGAAACACGGGGCUGUGCAGCUGCUACCAGGACAUCACACCAUGGCUUCAGAAAAAGAUUUUCAAAAGGUUCUUGUGUUUAAAUGAACCAAAC